CCUACGGGAGGCUGCAGUGGGGAAUAUUGCACAAUGGGCGAAAGCCUGAUGCAGCGACGCCGCGUGAGUGAAGAAGGUUUUCGGUAUGUAAAGCUCUAUCAGCAGGGAAGAAAAGAGACGGUACCUGACUACGAAGCAUCGACUAAAUACGGACCAGCAGCCGCGGUAAUACGGAGGGGGCAAGCGUUAUCCGGAAUUACUGGGUGUAAAGGGAGCGUAGACGGCGCGGCAAGUCUGGAGUGAAAGGCCAGGGCUUAACCCCGGAACUGCCUUGGAAACUGGCAUGCUAGAGUGCUGGAGAGGUAAGUGGAAUUCCUAGUGUAGCGGUGAAAUGCGUAGAUAUCAGGAGGAACACCAGUGGCGAAGGCGGCUUACUGGACAGUAACUGACGCUGAGGCGCGAAAGCGUGGGGAGCAAACAGGAUUAGAUACCCUGGUAGUC
RNAcentral lists this ribosomal RNA (441 nucleotides) under uncultured bacterium. RNAcentral describes it as "partial 16S ribosomal RNA". It matches the Rfam family "Bacterial small subunit ribosomal RNA", at positions 338 to 795 of the family's 1533-position model. The record is from RNAcentral.